AUUUUAGCCCCGGUGCCUGACUUGAGUUUGGAAUCUGGAUUGAUUCUCUGGAAUAAUUAAUGAUACGUAUGGCAUGGCUUAUCCACACUUCAACAAGAACUUCGUUUUCCCACUGGAUGAUAUGCCUUUCCCUGAGUCCUCUAUGGCUACCCUCUCUCGCCUCUUCUAGUACUGCAGGUAUCAACCUCUACCGCCGGCGAAGCAGAAUCGCACUUCGUCGUCGGCCACCCCUAUAUCAACAUCGUAACCUUCGACGCUAUGGCCCCACCACCUUAACCCCCUUACAUCCGGGUCGUCAUCAUUGGAAAUAAGCUAACAAUAUCACAGGCUCACUGGCAAGAACCCCUGCCGGCCUCCUCCAUGAAUAUAUUCCAUAUCCUACUUUUUGACGGGGAUGCUACUUUGGACGGGGAGGGGUGUCUUUAACUGCGAAGUCAGACUAAUAGGUCUACCAAGUCAAGCGCCCAUCCAGCAACAUGAGACCUUCCAGCACUACACUUCAACCCGGGCGGCUUUCCUGGAGUGAUAUGAGGAGUCAAAGGCGAUUAGGGGUAUGCGACCGGGAUUGUUGGGCCUGAUCCGAUGCAGGUAAACCUACGCAGCUUCCAUAGAAGCGCCAGUACCUGUUGAAGAUAAACAUCAUGCGUAGACAAAUAGAGAAAAUACAGCUGGGAAAUCAGAGUUAGUGGAACAGCAGGCUGUGAAGGAAGAGCAGGGGGUUUAAAAGGCCCGAACUCUCAAGUCGGCCGUGUCUCAAGGACAAGUUGAGGGCUCCAAGACUCAUCGUACAUCGUAUACUGCAUGCAUGCAUUAUAUUCUCAUCCU
This 825-nucleotide small RNA is filed under the name Cryptococcus neoformans H99. RNAcentral's name for it is "Cryptococcus neoformans var. grubii H99 hypothetical RNA". Lineage: Eukaryota; Fungi; Basidiomycota; Tremellomycetes; Tremellales; Cryptococcaceae. The record is from RNAcentral.